This is a non-coding RNA of Triticum aestivum (bread wheat), 70 nucleotides long. The record is from Rfam. NCBI's taxonomy places the organism in Eukaryota, Viridiplantae, Streptophyta, Magnoliopsida, Poales, Poaceae.
GUCGCGAUCUGAUAGGUAUCUAUCCGGACCAUGCAUCUGGAAAGCGCCGGUUCGAUUCCGGCUCGUGACA